ACGAACGCUGGCGGCAGGCUUAACACAUGCAAGUCGAACGCGUGUAGCAAUACACGAGUGGCGCACGGGUGAGUAACGCGUGGAUAUCUGCCUUUUGGUUCGGAAUAACCCCGGGAAACUGGGGCUAAUACCGGAUGGUUCCUACGGGAUAAAGAUUUAUCGCCAAAAGAUGAGUCCGCGUACGAUUAGCUAGUUGGUGAGGUAAUGGCUCACCAAGGCGACGAUCGUUAGCUGGUCUGAGAGGACGAUCAGCCACACUGGGACUGAGACACGGCCCAGACUCCUACGGGAGGCAGCAGUGGGGAAUAUUGGACAAUGGGGGCAACCCUGAUCCAGCCAUGCCGCGUGAGUGAUGAAGGCCUUCGGGUUGUAAAGCUCUUUUGGCGGGGACGAUGAUGACGGUACCCGCAGAAUAAGCCCCGGCUAACUUCGUGCCAGCAGCCGCGGUAAGACGAAGGGGGCUAGCGUUGUUCGGAAUUACUGGGCGUAAAGCGAGUGUAGGUGGUUUUCCAAGUUGGAUGUGAAAGCCUUGAGCUUAACUCAAGAAAUGCAUUCAGGACUGGAAGACUAGAGGACCGGAGAGGAUAGUGGAAUUCCCAGUGUAGUGG
Molecule: ribosomal RNA, 608 nt
Filed under: uncultured bacterium
Lineage: Bacteria
Description: bacterial SSU rRNA
Rfam family: Bacterial small subunit ribosomal RNA
Source: RNAcentral